RNAcentral lists this ribosomal RNA (253 nucleotides) under uncultured bacterium. RNAcentral describes it as "partial 16S ribosomal RNA". It matches the Rfam family "Bacterial small subunit ribosomal RNA", at positions 524 to 776 of the family's 1533-position model. The record is from RNAcentral.
UACAGAGGGGGCAAGCGUUAUUCGAAAUUAUUGGGCGUAAAGGGCGCGUAGGCGGCUUGGCAAGUGGAUGGUGAAAUCCCUCGGCUUAACCGAGGAACUGCCGUCCAAACUGCUUCGCUUGAGACCGGGAGAGGUGAGUGGAAUUCCCAGUGUAGCGGUGAAAUGCGCAGAUAUCGGGAAGAACACCCGUGGCGAAGGCGGGUCUCUGGGCCGAUACUGACGCUGAGGAGCGAAAGCGUGGGGAGCGAACAGG